This 391-nucleotide ribosomal RNA is filed under the name uncultured soil bacterium. RNAcentral's name for it is "bacterial SSU rRNA". It matches the Rfam family "Bacterial small subunit ribosomal RNA", at positions 26 to 433 of the family's 1533-position model. The record is from RNAcentral.
AGAUUGAACGCUGGCGGCAUGCCUAACACAUGCAAGUCGAACGGGAGUAGCAAUACUCUAGUGGCGGACGGGUGAGGAAUACGUAGGAAUUUGCCCUUAAGUGGGGGAUAACCCGGGGAAACCCGGAUUAAUACCGCAUGACCUCGAAAGAGCAAAGUGGGGGAUCGCAAGACCUCACGCUUUUGGAGAAGCCUACGUCGGAUUAGCUAGUUGGUGAGGUAAUGGCUCACCAAGGCGACGAUCCGUAACUGGUCUGGAGAGGAUGAUCAGUCACGACCGGAAUGAGACCACGGUCCGGACUCCGUACGGGAGGCAGCAGGUGGGAAUAGUGGACAAGUGGCGACAACGCCUGACUCCGAGACGAAUCGGACCGUCGGUUGUACGGUAACGG